RNAcentral lists this transfer RNA (62 nucleotides) under Puliciphora borinquenensis. Its description in RNAcentral is "tRNA-Phe". Lineage: Eukaryota; Metazoa; Arthropoda; Insecta; Diptera; Phoridae. The record is from RNAcentral.
AUUUUAAUAGCUUAAAAAGAGCAUUGUAUUGAAGCUGCAAAAGUGGAUUUAUCCUUAAGAUA